This 253-nucleotide ribosomal RNA is filed under the name uncultured bacterium. Its description in RNAcentral is "partial 16S ribosomal RNA". It matches the Rfam family "Bacterial small subunit ribosomal RNA", at positions 524 to 776 of the family's 1533-position model. The record is from RNAcentral.
UACGUAGGUGGCUAGCGUUGUCCGGAUUUACUGGGCGUAAAGAGCGCGCAGGCGGUCGUUUAAGUCGAGUGUGAAAGCCCCCGGCUCAACUGGGGAGGGUCACUCGAUACUGAUCGACUCGAAGGCAGGAGAGGGUAGUGGAAUUCCCGGUGUAGUGGUGGAAUGCGUAGAGAUCGGGAAGAACAUCAGUGGCGAAGGCGGUCUGCUGGGCCGUUGCUGACGCUGAGGCGCGACAGCGUGGGGAGCAAACAGG